This 3016-nucleotide long non-coding RNA is filed under the name Homo sapiens (human). Its description in RNAcentral is "PREDICTED lncRNA (TCONS_00201990)". The record is from RNAcentral. Lineage: Eukaryota; Metazoa; Chordata; Mammalia; Primates; Hominidae.
CCUGUCCGGGGUGGGUUCCCAUAUUGCUCCCUGAGCUGCCAGGAUAGGCUCCAACCACCUGCGGCCUCCACCGAAAUAAUUAGAAAACCUUUUUUUGGAAAGAAUCGAAACUAAAAACCCAACUAUUUAAAAAAUGGAAACUUUUGGCCGGGAACGGAGGCUCACACCUAUAAUCUCAGCACUUUGGGAGGCCGAAUGGGCGGAUCACAAGGUCAAGAGAUUGAGACCAUCCUGGCCAACGUGGUGAAACUCCGUCUCUACUAAAAAUACAAAAGUUAGCUGGGCAUGGUGGCACAUGCCUGUAGUCCCAGCUACUCGGGAGGCUGAGGCAGAAGAAUCGCUGGAACCCAGGAGGCGGAGGUUGCAGUGAGCCGAGACAGCACCACUGCACUCCAGACUGGCGACAGAGUGAGACUCCAUCUAAAAAAAAAAAAAAGGAACCUUUUGCCUUACUUCGUUUGCUAGCUACAUUCAAGUCUGCAAUUAAGCUCGGUGUUUUGCCUUUCUCAAACUGUGCACAGGUCCUCUUGUUUGUUCCCCUUCUCUCUGUUGCCUAGGAAUACAGCCAAAAACUUGAGUAAUAGAUGAUAGAUGGGUCUGUCACUAAGCACAUCCUAGUGACAUAGAUAAGAAGCAAAUGCUACAAAAUUAUAGGUGCAAACUACAAGUUGUGUUUUAAUUGGUUUUAACAAGUACUUAUAAGCAGAAGAACUGUGAAAAAUCUAACAUUUUGUCCUACUUGCAAGCCUGCCAGUCUUUUGAGUGCUGGGCAAAGACACAAUAGUGCUGGGUCAGAGACAAUUAACUUUACUACUCACAUUAAUAGCAUUAGCAAGAGUAUCAUGAUUUUCUUGCACUGAUUCCUCAAGCCGCAAUUCCCACAGAAAAGCUCAGGUGACACCUACAUGCUCAGUGGGUUGCAUUAGAAAAGAGGAACGCAGAGCUCAGGAAACAUGGAUAUUUUAUAAUGGCCAGUAAAGAUGUCCCUUUGCUUUAGAAAGAGGCACUACCUCUAUCCAAGGCUGCAAGCACACCUGCCUUUUGUUUUAGAAGGAGAAAUGAUUUCUAUCUUCCAAGGCUGUUCACUAUAUGAAAAGACAGUCCCAAACAAAAGGCAGUUACUGACUUGCUUGAAAAAUGUGCAGAAAUGAUACGCUGCUUGAAUGUGGACAGCUGACACAGGGACAAGGAGUAAAAAUGAUUAGGUUUUGAGCUUGACCAACUAGGAAGAUAAUUAUUAGCAGUAGAGAAAAAAAGAACAAAGUAGAUUUUAGGGCAGAUAAGCCAUUUUUUAGGUAGGUUGAGUCUGAGAUGCCUCCAUAAAUAUAAGUUGAAAAUAUGAGAUUGGAGUUGAGACUUCAGAAAUACAUAUUUUGAGUAGUUACACUACAGAGGUAAGUCAUCAGAGUUCAUAAAAUUAAAGUGAGAAAAAGAGGCAAGUGAAGAAAAACAAGAUGGCAUUGCAUGAAGAACUUUCUUAGGAAGGAAGGCAGCAAAGAGGUAAAAUUGGAGGUGUAGUCAGAGAUGGAAGAUGAAAAAGGAAAAUAACAAUAUUUCAGAAAUGAAAUGAAAAAGGUCUUUUACUAAGUAAUUGGUACUACUACUUGUCAGUUUCAAGUGCUGUAAAAAAAAUGGGAAGAACCACACAUGUGCACUUUCAGUACUAUGUAUUUUAUGCUUCAGGGAUGCAUACCUGUUUAACAAAAGUAUGUUUUUUCUCAAAGUGUGUUGAAUAGUCCAGAAAAAGAUGGAGGUAGAAGUCAGACUUCAGGAGAUAAAGGAACCAGAAAGAUCAUUGAAGGCUGUGAUGGUAGAAAACAUUUUGACAAAGAGUUGUGCAAUGAGAAAGCUAGGGGUGGGACAAUUAAUUUUGAGGGUAACAAUUGGGGAUUUGAGUAGAUUUUUUGCUUCUGUUCUUUAAUUGUUUUGUCUUCUUUUUAAAGAAACCAAGAGACUGUUAAUGUAGUAGGAGCAGAGUUUCACAAUACAGAGCAGAGAGGGUGUUGGUUGAUAAAGAAUUGUCUCAAAUGAGAGGAAAAGAAUGGAGCCAAUAACAGAGAUGAUGUUUAAUUUGGGAAAGGUGGGACAUGUUAACAUGAGUCCAGAGAACUAAAAUGAGCUUAUGGCAUGCAGAUGCUGAAGAUGAAGAAAGGAAAGGAAGGAAAAGGAGGAAUUUAUAUUUAUUUAUUGAAUAAUCUUGUAAAACUGUUAAUCACCCCUUUUUACUGACGAUAAGACAUAAAUGUCAGAGGUGUUUUGCCUAAAGUAAAAAAUUCGAUAGUCAAGCUGGGUUUAAAACCAUAUCAGUCUUACGUCAAAGCAUGUUUUAAUUGCUGUUGUGUGGUUGUGAUUUUAAGGGAAGAAGAAGAGUUUUAUAAUGGGUUCUCUGAAAAAUAAAAUAUCAAUUAGAAAGAAACAAAACAACUGCUGAGAAGCAGUGAAUCCAAGCAGAAUCUGAGUAUCAUCACUUUUUAGUUAAACUAACCAGUCCAAUAUCCUGAUUUUUCUUUAACAGGCAAAGAAUUUUUGAGUCUUUCCCAUAGACUGAGUUCUUGUGAACUAUUUUACAGCAAUAAUGGCAUCCAAUCCUAUAGAUAACAAUAACAAAGCUGCAGACCAUUUUGUUGCCAGGUUUCUCCUCCAGGGUGGCUUUCCAGCUAGUUUGUAAACAAAUAACUCAGGUGGCCCUGUCAUGUUACAUUAACUAAAAACCAAGUCUAAAGCACACAUAUAAUAACAUAUGUGUGUGCAAACUGGCUUGCUUUCAAAUUCCUAAAUCAUACAAUUAAAUUUUAAAAAUAACUGUAUUUGGAAACAAGAAAAAAGUCACUUUGACACCCAACUGAUGUAUAUAAAGGAGACUGUGCAUAUGGGUUUUAAAAUGAGAUGAAAAUUGAAAUUUGAUCUUUGAGAUUAAAAACAAUGUUAUGUAAAUCUAUUUUUAUUUAAUUUUUCUGAAAAAUAUUGUAUUUGCUUUAUACCCUCUUGCUAUACAAACUUAUAUUGUUUUGCUUAC